RNAcentral lists this small nucleolar RNA (132 nucleotides) under Meriones unguiculatus (Mongolian gerbil). RNAcentral's name for it is "Small nucleolar RNA SNORA17 (ENSMUGG00000006095.1)". It matches the Rfam family "Small nucleolar RNA SNORA17". From Rfam's summary of the family: snoRNA ACA 17 belongs to the H/ACA family of snoRNAs and is predicted to guide pseudouridylation of the 28S rRNA at positions U4659 and U4598. It shares the same host gene together with ACA43. NB This family has a high threshold value to exclude a large number of closely related sequences that do not appear to have conserved H and ACA boxes, and may be pseudogenes. The record is from RNAcentral. Lineage: Eukaryota; Metazoa; Chordata; Mammalia; Rodentia; Muridae.
ACUACCCCUAAGAGGAAUUUCAGGUGUGGUUGCUGUGUUGCAUGUGCCUCAGUAGAUGGCAGAGAGGAGAGAGCCUAUGUCUACACUCAGUAUUCUGACCUGUAAACAUCUGAGUAGCUUAAUAUUCCCUUU